CCGUUAGAAAGAGGUUGGAGUGCACGCAGUUUAUUGCUGACAUGGUCAUUGCUUAUAUUGCAACAAUUUUCUUCUUGCUAGUCAACCUGCAUACGAUCACCCUGCCAGGGAUUCCGUAAUCGGAGAUGCAUUUUUUUUGGGGAUUAAAACGUAUUGCAAUGUUUCAACUUAGAAAAGGAUAAAAUGCUCAGUACACCGAUCCAAUAAGGAAAGUAGUGAUUGGCCCAGC
This 229-nucleotide long non-coding RNA is filed under the name Elaeis guineensis (African oil palm). Its description in RNAcentral is "long non-coding RNA (EGUI_LNC005689)". The record is from RNAcentral. Lineage: Eukaryota; Viridiplantae; Streptophyta; Magnoliopsida; Arecales; Arecaceae.